RNAcentral lists this ribosomal RNA (432 nucleotides) under uncultured bacterium. RNAcentral's name for it is "partial 16S ribosomal RNA". It matches the Rfam family "Bacterial small subunit ribosomal RNA", at positions 29 to 506 of the family's 1533-position model. The record is from RNAcentral.
AGCGAACGCUGGCGGCAUGCCUAACACAUGCAGGUCGAACGAGACCUUCGGGUCUAGUGGCGCACGGGUGCGUAACGCGUGGGAACCUGCCCUUAGGUUCGGAAUAACUCCCCGAAAGGGGUGCUAAUACCGGAUAAUGUCUUCGGACCAAAGAUUUAUCGCCUUUGGAUGGGCCCGCGUUGGAUUAGCUAGUUGGUAGGGUAAAAGCCUACCAAGGCGACGAUCCAUAGCUGGUCUGAGAGGAUGAUCAGCCACACUGGGACUGAGACACGGCCCAGACUCCUACGGGAGGCAGCAGUGGGGAAUAUUGGACAAUGGGCGAAAGCCUGAUCCAGCAAGGCCGCGUGAGUGAUGAAGGCCUUAGGGUUGUAAAGCUCUUUUACCCGGGAUGAUAAGGACAGUACCGGGAGAAUAAGCUCCGGCUAACUCCGG